Oenanthe melanoleuca is the source of this 538-nucleotide long non-coding RNA. RefSeq lists it as uncharacterized. The record is from RefSeq and is a predicted model, not a curated record. Lineage: Eukaryota; Metazoa; Chordata; Aves; Passeriformes; Muscicapidae. The transcript has 5 exons.
AUCCGUGCCACAGAUGGGAUGGACUCUGUGCCAGGGCCGGGCUUGUGGGCAGGACUGGGGGCUGUGCCAAGCCAGGCUUUGACCUGGGAGCUGCCAGGGAGGGUGCAGGGAGGAGUCCCAGCAGGGAUAAAGGUGUUCCUGCUCUGCUGCAGCCUCAGCCAGUGCUGCCCAGAGCGAGAGGAAGAUGAAGGUGGCUGUGCUCAGCGUGGCCCUGCUCUUCUCCAUCCUGCUGUGCCCCCCGGCACAGGCCAAGGCACUCCUGGAAGGAACUCAAGAUGAUCUGCGGAAGAUUGAUUUAGACAAUGUCGUGAAGCUGGAGACGCCUCUGCCCCCAGUUGUUGAAAAGCUGGAGGCUGUUCUGCGGCAGAAGCGCCUGGCUGCCUCUCUGGGUGCCUAGGAUUGCAAGUUGUGGGGACAUCGGUGUCCUGAUCCCCUCUGGCAGCACGAGGAGAUGAUCAUCCCUGGAGGAUCCCCCUGAACCCUUUGAGCCCUGGGCCAUUUCCCCUGAAUAAUCAAUAAACCCUUUGAGCAAAGCUUU